RNAcentral lists this small RNA (241 nucleotides) under Pongo abelii (Sumatran orangutan). Its description in RNAcentral is "processed transcript". The record is from RNAcentral. Lineage: Eukaryota; Metazoa; Chordata; Mammalia; Primates; Hominidae.
GGGCCUGAAGCCUGAAAUGUAAACACUUGAUUUUUUGGGGGGCAGUGGAGAGUGGCGGCGGGCUGUUGUGUUCUCCGGAUCUCACUGUGGCUUCAUUUCAGUUUGGACGGUGGAGAACUCUUUAGCCGAAUCCAGGAUCGAGGAGACCAGGCAUUCACAGAAAGAGAAGCAUCCGAAAUCAUGAAGAGCAUCGGUGAGGCCAUCCAGUAUCUGCACUCAAUCAACAUUGCCCAUCGGGAUG